AUUGAACGCUGGCGGCAUGCCUUACACAUGCAAGUCGAACGGCAGCGCGGACUUCGGUCUGGCGGCGAGUGGCGAACGGGUGAGUAAUACAUCGGAACGUACCCUGUUGUGGGGGAUAACUAGUCGAAAGAUUAGCUAAUACCGCAUACGACCUGAGGGUGAAAGUGGGGGACCGCAAGGCCUCACGCAGCAGGAGCGGCCGAUGUCUGAUUAGCUAGUUGGUGGGGUAAAGGCCCACCGAAGGCGACGAUCAGUAGCUGGUCUGAGAGGACGAUCAGCCACACUGGGACUGAGACACGGCCCAGACGUCCUACGGGAGGCAGCAGUUGGGGAAUUUUGGACGAAUGGGGGCAACCCUGAUCCAGCAAUGCCG
This 373-nucleotide ribosomal RNA is filed under the name uncultured Cupriavidus sp. RNAcentral's name for it is "bacterial SSU rRNA". It matches the Rfam family "Bacterial small subunit ribosomal RNA", at positions 30 to 399 of the family's 1533-position model. Lineage: Bacteria; Pseudomonadati; Pseudomonadota; Betaproteobacteria; Burkholderiales; Burkholderiaceae. The record is from RNAcentral.